RNAcentral lists this long non-coding RNA (200 nucleotides) under Homo sapiens (human). Its description in RNAcentral is "HSALNT0015432". The record is from RNAcentral. Lineage: Eukaryota; Metazoa; Chordata; Mammalia; Primates; Hominidae.
UGCACAGAGACCUGGGGAAGGAAGCUGAACUUUGCAGAGAUGAGGACAGGUGCAGGCUAGGGUACAGGGUGGUGGUAGAGGAGACAAGUUUUAUCUCCAGGCCUCUCCAGCUUCACACUCUUGGCCGCUUCUCCAAUCAGCUCCCAGAAACUCCUGAACUCCAGUUUAGAGUCAUUGCAGCUGCCCAGGUUGGCAAUUUU